ACUCAGAUCACGUAAUUCUUUAAAAGUCGAACAGACUUUCCCCUAUUAGCUUCUUCACCAAAAGUAAAAUUAAUUCAACAUCGAGGUCGCAACCAUAACUAUUAAUAAGAACUUGUUAAUUAAAUAACGCUGUUAUCCCUAGAGUAACUUAUAUUCUUUUACUCCUAUUUUCCUAAAAAUUAAUUUCUUCACUAAUUGCCCCAAUCUAAAAAUUCUAAAUUUUUAAGCUUCUAGGGUCUUCUCGUCCCAAAAGAUUAUAAAAGCAUUCUUACUUUUAAUUUAAAUUCAAAAUUAUUUUAUAAAACCUCCUUCUUAGUAACUACCCUUCAUUCCAGUUCCCAAUUAAAGAA
This 350-nucleotide ribosomal RNA is filed under the name Neoancistrotus guapimirim. Its description in RNAcentral is "partial large subunit ribosomal RNA". The record is from RNAcentral. Lineage: Eukaryota; Metazoa; Arthropoda; Arachnida; Opiliones; Gonyleptidae.